This 83-nucleotide microRNA precursor is filed under the name Chlorocebus sabaeus (green monkey). RNAcentral's name for it is "miRNA (ENSCSAG00000025509.1)". Lineage: Eukaryota; Metazoa; Chordata; Mammalia; Primates; Cercopithecidae. The record is from RNAcentral.
GUGAGCGGGAGGCCAGGACAUGGCAGGGGGAGCUGCACUGUGGUCGGAGGGGUCCCAGUGUCUGAACCCUAUCCUCCCGCAGG